GAUGAACGCUGGCGGCGUGCCUAAUACAUGCAAGUCGAGCGAACAGACGAGGAGCUUGCUCCUCUGACGUUAGCGGCGGACGGGUGAGUAACACGUGGAUAACCUACCUAUAAGACUGGGAUAACUUCGGGAGACCGGAGCUAAUACCGGAUAAUAUAUUGAACCGCAUGGUUCAAUAGUGAAAGACGGUUUUGCUGUCACUUAUAGAUGGAUCCGCGCCGCAUUAGCUAGUUGGUAAGGUAACGGCUUACCAAGGCAACGAUGCGUAGCCGACCUGAGAGGGUGAUCGGCCACACUGGAACUGAGACACGGUCCAGACUCCUACGGGAGGCAGCAGUAGGGAAUCUUCCGCAAAGGGCGAAAGCUUGACGGAGCAACGCCGCGUGAGUGAUGAAGGUCUUCGGAUCGUAAAACUCUGUUAUUAGGGAAGAACAAAUGUGUAAGUAACUAUGCACGUCUUGACGGUACCUAAUCAGAAAGCCACGGCUAACUACGUG
This 497-nucleotide ribosomal RNA is filed under the name uncultured bacterium. RNAcentral describes it as "partial 16S ribosomal RNA". It matches the Rfam family "Bacterial small subunit ribosomal RNA", at positions 28 to 507 of the family's 1533-position model. The record is from RNAcentral.